Seriola dumerili (greater amberjack) is the source of this 785-nucleotide long non-coding RNA. RefSeq lists it as uncharacterized. NCBI's taxonomy places the organism in Eukaryota, Metazoa, Chordata, Actinopteri, Carangiformes, Carangidae. The record is from RefSeq and is a predicted model, not a curated record. The transcript is spliced from 4 exons.
GCCUCAGUGUGUUACCAGGCAUCCACCUCAGAUAUGUAGGCAGGCUCCAGCGGGGAACUGCAUUUAAAGAUCAGACUUAAUAGGAAUAUGUUCACCAGAUGUGGGUUUCAGAUGUGGAGGGUGUCCUCAGGUCCAUGGCCAGACAGCUGAAUGCUUCUCAGGGGAAAUAUCCUCGCGAUAUAAGUGGAAACAGUCCAGUGUGUCCUCCUCCAUCUUCUUCAAACCACAGCAGGUCUCUCUCCAGUAAAAGAUGUGGCUUUAGAUGUUCUUCAGCUAUUUGACAGCAGAACUCAAGACAUAUCACAUACUUUGUUUGUCCCAAAAAAACAGACAGACUGAAGUUGUCCUGUAAAUUGUUUUAAAUUUUUGCAGCAAAUAGGGAUGUCACCAAGAUUCAGGCACCUAUCCCAGCAGGCACCAUACAUCCAACAUCAGAAAGACAUUGACUGUAAACAAACGAUAAACUUUUGUUGGUAAUAAAAAUCAGGUUGACAUCAAAACCCAACGUUGGCUACUUGACACUGUGACAUUAACAGAUAUUGGAUUUUACCCAACUCUAUAAUGUCUUCUAUGUCAAGAUGGCGUUGGCAUCGGGAAGAUGCUGGAUUUUGGUUACUUAACAGCACACCUUAAAACUAAUAAAAUACCAACAUCAGCUGUGCUCAGUAUUCUAUGUCAAUUUUACAUUGGCAUUAGACGCUGUCCUGAUAUUGAAUAUUGGUCACCCAACAUCACAAACUACAUUCAACCAAAUAACAACAUCUUGUUGGAGGCCUGCUGUGUGC